This is a long non-coding RNA of Cloeon dipterum, 437 nucleotides long. RefSeq lists it as uncharacterized. The record is from RefSeq and is a predicted model, not a curated record. The transcript has 3 exons. NCBI's taxonomy places the organism in Eukaryota, Metazoa, Arthropoda, Insecta, Ephemeroptera, Baetidae.
CGCAAGCGUGACCACAAGGCACAAAAGAGAAGGAGGACAAAAGACGGUAGAUGGAGUGAAGUUAACUCCCCCGAAGCACCCAAAUUGGCUAUUCUAACCUAUAAUCCCCGGCCUGAAGAGAGGGACGAUGAGUGUCUAACACCUGAGGAAUUCUGCAAGAUUGUUCAGAGCGCCAAGAGAUGUUACGAAUAUUUAUCUUUGAUCAAGACGAAGAUGGACAUGUUAGUGGAUUGUGGGGACAGAUGCAAUACGCCUUGGUACCAAACGAUAACUAGUCAGACGAAUGAAAAAUAUUUUCUUUUUACUAAUGCUAGUGCAGUCCUUAAUAUUAUAGUGAUUCUACUUCAUUUAAUUUUAAAACCUCUGAUUGAUGAUGAUUUGUGACGACCGAAUUAAUUAAGAGGGCGAGAUGAUUGUGGAAAAAUAAAAAGAGUUUU